GUGAAAUGUGUCGUCCAAACACUGUUAAAACGGUUACUAACUUUUCGGGGUUGCCAACCACGAAAAAAACGGAACGCCUCCGAAAUUUUCGUAUGUAGCCUAAAUUUUCGUGGUUAUUGGCACGAAGUCCGCUGUUCUCACCAAAACCCCAAAAUGUUGGUAGUUGUAAGCCCCUAAAAUACAUGGUUAAGACUGAACACAAAAAGUAAAUCAACGGCAACGCUGAAUUAGUGAUCGUUCUUACUUCUUCCAGAAACAAAGUUCCGAGUUGUUCGUGUUCGAAUGGCGGCUAAUCUACGUUAUGGUCUUAUGACAUUGUCUUGAUAACCAUGUUGAAGAAAAAGAUAAGAGAAAUGAUCUAGAGAAAAUGUGUCAAGUCCUGCAGCAUAAAAGCACUGAACCGACUUUGUCUCAUGGUGAAUCUGUACAGUUGGAUGACAGUGAUGGGCAGCAUGUCUCUAAUCAAACUUUCCCCGUUAACACAAGACAGUUUGAAUGACUCAAUUCUUCUAUGUAAAAAUUGCCAUUGAUGAGGAAAUGGUGAAUCUGUACAGUUGGAUGACAGUGAUGGGCAGCAUGUCUCUAAUCAAACUUUCCCCGUUAACACAAGACAGAGUUUGAAUGACUCAAUUCUGCUAUGUAGAAAAUGGCCAUUGAUGAGGAAAUGGUGAAUCUGUACAUUUGGAUGACAGUGAUGGGCAGCAUGUCUCUAAUCAAACUUUCCCCGCUAACACAAGACAGAGUUUGAAUGACUCAAUUCUGCUAUGUACAAAUUGCCAUUGAUGAGGAAAUGGUGAAACUCAACAAUUGGAUGACAGUGAUGGGCAGCCUAUCUAAUCAAGCUUUCCCCAUUGUUAACACAAGAAAGAGUUUGUACGACUCAAUUCUGCUACAUACAAAUUGCCAUUGAUAAGAGAGUUAAGCCAUCUACAGAAAGGUUCCAACUCUAUUGAAGAACAAACCUUCACCACACCCUGAUUUGUUUUGUUGUGGAUAGAAUGUUUUCGAAGUAUCCAAAGUCAAGUUAGGACAAGAAAGACUAGUAAACAAACAGAGGAGAGCCUGGUGACGUCACGGAAAUCUGCCAAACGUUCGUAGAGAACUGGUUGGCUUAUCCACCGUUGAUCCUUAAGUAUGCAGUGAAGGCGAAGAAGACAAUUGAUGCUGUGAGUCGAAGACCAGCUUAUUGCAAAGUGUAAAAGUGCUAACUGUUAGUAUCUAAUUGUGUUUUUGUCAUUCUACACUGUGGCUUCGAAGUUGUAUGAAAUAAAACGUUAUUAACUCGA
This is a long non-coding RNA of Daphnia pulicaria, 1286 nucleotides long. RefSeq lists it as uncharacterized. Lineage: Eukaryota; Metazoa; Arthropoda; Branchiopoda; Diplostraca; Daphniidae. The record is from RefSeq and is a predicted model, not a curated record. The transcript is spliced from 8 exons.